RNAcentral lists this ribosomal RNA (253 nucleotides) under uncultured bacterium. RNAcentral's name for it is "partial 16S ribosomal RNA". It matches the Rfam family "Bacterial small subunit ribosomal RNA", at positions 524 to 776 of the family's 1533-position model. The record is from RNAcentral.
UACGAAGGGGGCUAGCGUUGCUCGGAAUUACUGGGCGUAAAGGGAGCGUAGGCGGACUGUUAAGUUAGAGGUGAAAGCCCAGGGCUCAACCUUGGAAUUGCCUUUGAUACUGGCAGUCUUGAGUACGGAAGAGGUAUGUGGAACUCCGAGUGUAGAGGUGAAAUUCGUAGAUAUUCGGAAGAACACCAGUGGCGAAGGCGACAUACUGGUCCGUUACUGACGCUGAGGCUCGAAAGCGUGGGGAGCAAACGGG